RNAcentral lists this unclassified non-coding RNA (218 nucleotides) under uncultured Thelephoraceae. Its description in RNAcentral is "sequence contains ITS2". The record is from RNAcentral. Lineage: Eukaryota; Fungi; Basidiomycota; Agaricomycetes; Thelephorales; Thelephoraceae.
AAUUCUCAACUCCCCUCGGAUUCCAUCUGUAGGGUGAGCUUGGACUUGGAGGUUUCUGCUGGCGUUCGCCGGCUCCUCUUGAAAUCAUUAGCUUUGAGUUGAUCUCGAUGGCUUGACCGGUGUGAUAAACAUCUACGCCGAUUUGUGCCGUCCUGAGCGAUGAACAUCGGAGACGCUCUGGCUUAUAACUGUCUUAACCAGAGGACGACGCCCUGAAC